Molecule: unclassified non-coding RNA, 551 nt
Filed under: Candida albicans
Lineage: Eukaryota; Fungi; Ascomycota; Pichiomycetes; Serinales; Debaryomycetaceae
Description: sequence contains 18S rRNA gene, ITS1, 5.8S rRNA gene, ITS2, 28S rRNA gene
Rfam family: 5.8S ribosomal RNA (bases 183-336)
Source: RNAcentral
UCGUAACAAGGUUUCCGUAGGUGAACCUGCGGAAGGAUCAUUACUGAUUUGCUUAAUUGCACCACAUGUGUUUUUCUUUGAAACAAACUUGCUUUGGCGGUGGGCCCAGCCUGCCGCCAGAGGUCUAAACUUACAACCAAUUUUUUAUCAACUUGUCACACCAGAUUAUUACUAAUAGUCAAAACUUUCAACAACGGAUCUCUUGGUUCUCGCAUCGAUGAAGAACGCAGCGAAAUGCGAUACGUAAUAUGAAUUGCAGAUAUUCGUGAAUCAUCGAAUCUUUGAACGCACAUUGCGCCCUCUGGUAUUCCGGAGGGCAUGCCUGUUUGAGCGUCGUUUCUCCCUCAAACCGCUGGGUUUGGUGUUGAGCAAUACGACUUGGGUUUGCUUGAAAGACGGUAGUGGUAAGGCGGGAUCGCUUUGACAAUGGCUUAGGUCUAACCAAAAACAUUGCUUGCGGCGGUAACGUCUACCACGUAUAUCUUCAAACUUUGACCUCAAAUCAGGUAGGACUACCCGCUGAACUUAAGCAUAUCAAUAAGCCGGAGGAA